GGCGAACGCUGGCGGCAGGCUUAACACAUGCAAGUCGAGCGGGCCCUUCGGGGUCAGCGGCAGACGGGUGAGUAACGCGUGGGAACGUGCCCUUCGGUUCGGAAUAACUCAGGGAAACUUGAGCUAAUACCGGAUACGCCCUUAUGGGGAAAGGCUUGCUGCCGAAGGAUCGGCCCGCGUCUGAUUAGCUAGUUGGUGAGGUUAUGGCUCACCAAGGCGACGAUCAGUAGCUGGUCUGAGAGGAUGAUCAGCCACACUGGGACUGAGACACGGCCCAGACUCCUACGGGAGGCAGCAGUGGGGAAUAUUGGACAAUGGGGGCAACCCUGAUCCAGCCAUGCCGCGUGAGUGAUGACGGCCUUAGGGUUGUAAAGCUCUUUUCUCCGGGACGAUAAUGACGGUACCGGAGGAAUAAGCCCCGGCUAACUUCGUG
This 433-nucleotide ribosomal RNA is filed under the name uncultured bacterium. RNAcentral describes it as "partial 16S ribosomal RNA". It matches the Rfam family "Bacterial small subunit ribosomal RNA", at positions 28 to 507 of the family's 1533-position model. The record is from RNAcentral.